GGGAGAGGCUUUUAUUUUAGAUUUGGUGGUUUUUUUCCAAGUAGGUGGUGGGGUCUGUAUUUAGAGGUUUGUAAGUGAGGUCUUGGAGUAGGUCGGAUAGUUUGGAUUGGUAGUCCGAUGUGUUCAUCAUGGCUGUGGCGUUGCCUUUGUCUGCUGGGAGAAUGAUUAUGUUGUUGUCUUUCCUCAAGUUGGUGGGUGCUUUUUGUUCUUCUCUGUGUAAGUUGCUUCUAGGUGGACUGCUGGAGCAGAGGAUGUUGGUGUUUUCAAGUCUGAUUUUAUUGGCCACAUCUGGAUUAAUUUUGGUUAGGCUAGCUUCAACUCCACAUAUGAUGUUUUCAGUGGGGAUGCAUUUGGGGGCGACUGCAAAGUUGAAUCCCUUGGAAAGGACGUUGGUUUCUGCUAUGGUGAUGGUUCUGUCUGAUAUGUUGUAUACUGCGUUGAAACCACUGGUUUC
Pseudonaja textilis is the source of this 454-nucleotide non-coding RNA. Lineage: Eukaryota; Metazoa; Chordata; Lepidosauria; Squamata; Elapidae. The record is from RefSeq and is a predicted model, not a curated record.